ACUUCGCAAUGGGGGCAACCCCGACGAGGGAAUUCCAAGUGCCAGCACUUUGUGUUGGCUGUUCUCCUGUCUAAAAAACAGGAGGAGUAAGGGGCGGGUAAGACGGGUGCCAGCCGCCGCGGUAAUACCCGCGCCCCUAGUGGUGGUCGAUAUUAUUGAGCCUAAAACGUCCGUAGCCGGUCUUUUAAAUCUUUGGGCAAAUCGGGCAGCUUAACUGUCCGACUUCCGAGGAGACUGGAAGACUUGGGACCGGGAGAGGUCAGAGGUACUUCUGGGGUAGGGGUAAAAUCCUGUAAUCCUGGAAGGACCACCGGUGGCGAAGGCGUCUGACUAGAACGGAUCCGACGGUGAGGGACGAAGCCCUGGGGCGCAAACGGGA
This 379-nucleotide ribosomal RNA is filed under the name uncultured archaeon. Its description in RNAcentral is "bacterial SSU rRNA". It matches the Rfam family "Archaeal small subunit ribosomal RNA", at positions 347 to 728 of the family's 1478-position model. The record is from RNAcentral.